ACGCUGGCGGCACGCCUAACACAUGCAAGUCGAACGAAGUAGCAAUACUUAGUGGCAGACGGGUGAGUAACAUGUAGGUAUCUGCCCUUUGGCCUGGAAUAACACGAGGAAACUUGUGCUAAUACCGGAUAAGUCUUUACGGAGAAAGCUUUAUGCACCAUUGGAUGAGCCUGCACUUGAUUAGUUUGUUGGUGGGGUAAUGGCCUACCAAGACUGUGAUCAAUAGCUGAUUUGAGAGGAUGAUCAGCCACAUUGGGACUGAGACACGGCCCAAACUCCUACGGGAGGCAGCAGUGGGGAAUCUUGCACAAUGGAGGAAACUCUGAUGCAGCGAUGCCGCGUGAGUGAAGAAGGCCUUUGGGUUGUAAAGCUCUUUCGUCGGGGAAGAAAAUGACUGUACCCGAAUAAGAAGGUCCGGCUAACUUCGUGCCAGCAGCCGCGGUAAUACGAAGGGACCUAGCGUAGUUCGGAAUUACUGGGCUUAAAGAGUUCGUAGGUGGUUGAAAAAGUUAGUGGUGAAAUCCCAGAGCUUAACUCUGGAACUGCCAUUAAAACUUUUCAGCUAGAGUACGAUAGAGGAAAGCAGAAUUUCUAGUGUAGAGGUGAAAUUCGUAGAUAUUAGAAAGAAUACCAAUUGCGAAGGCAGCUUUCUGGAUCAUUACUGACACUGAGGAACGAAAGCAUGGGUAGCGAAGAGGAUUAGAUACCCUCGUAGUCCAUGCCGUAAACGAUGUGUGUUAGACGUUGGAAAUUUAUUCUCAGUGUCGCAGCGAAAGCGAUAAACACACCGCCUGGGGAGUACGACCGCAAGGUUAAAACUCAAAUGAAUUGACGGGGACCCGCACAAGUAGUGGAGCAUGUGGUUUAAUUCGAAGAUACGCGCAGAACCUUACCAACACUUGACAUGUUCGUCGCGACUCUAAGAGAUUAGAGUUUUCGGUUCGGCCGGACGAAACACAGGUGCUGCAUGGCUGUCGUCAGCUCGUGUCGUGAGAUGUUGGGUUAAGUCCCGCAACGAGCGCAACCCUCACUUUUAGUUGCCAUCAUUAAGUUGGGCACUCUGAAAGAACUGCCAGUGAUAAGCUGGAGGAAGGUGGGGAUGACGUCAAGUCCUCAUGGCCCUUACGUGUUGGGCUACACACGUGCUACAAUGGUAUCUACAACAGGAAGCAAGACUGCGAAGUUAAGCAAAUCCCUAAAAGAUACCUCAGUUCGGAUUGCACUCUGCAACUCGAGUGCAUGAAGCUGGAAUUACUAGUAAUCGUGGAUCAGCGUGCCACGGUGAAUGCGUUCCCGGGUCUUGUACUCACC
Molecule: ribosomal RNA, 1311 nt
Filed under: uncultured Alphaproteobacteria bacterium
Lineage: Bacteria; Pseudomonadati; Pseudomonadota; Alphaproteobacteria
Description: uncultured alpha proteobacterium 16S ribosomal RNA
Rfam family: Bacterial small subunit ribosomal RNA
Source: RNAcentral